RNAcentral lists this transfer RNA (69 nucleotides) under Normichthys operosus (multipore searsid). RNAcentral's name for it is "tRNA-Arg". It matches the Rfam family "tRNA". From Rfam's summary of the family: Transfer RNA (tRNA) molecules are approximately 80 nucleotides in length. Lineage: Eukaryota; Metazoa; Chordata; Actinopteri; Alepocephaliformes; Platytroctidae. The record is from RNAcentral.
GGGGGGUUAGUCCAAACAAGACCUCUGAUUUCGACUCAGAAAAUUGCGGCUAAAGUCCGUGGCCCCCUU